AACGGCCGCGGUAUUUUGACCGUGCAAAGGUAGCAUAAUCAUUAGUCUUUUAAUAGAGGGCUGGUAUGAAGGGUUUGACGAGGUGUUGACUGUCUCAUUUAAUUUGAAUUUAGAAUUUACCUUUUUAGUCAAAAGGCUAAAAUUUUAUUGGAAGACGAGAAGACCCUAUAGAGCUUUAUAUUUAUUUUAUUAAUUAUUUUUUUGUUUAUAUUUAUUUAUUAUUAAAUAAAAUAUUGUGUUGGGGUGACAAAAAUAUAUAAUUAACUUUUUUAUUUAAAUUACAUUAAUAUAUGUAUAAUAGAUCCAAUUUUAUUGAUUGUUAGAAUAAGUUACCUUAGGGAUAACAGCGUAAUCUUCCUCCAGAGUUCAUAUUUACAGGAAGGCUUGCGACCUCGAUGUUGGAUUAAGAUGAUAAUUAGGUGUAGCCGCUUAAUGUAUAGGUCUGUUCGAC
RNAcentral lists this ribosomal RNA (451 nucleotides) under Phenes raptor. RNAcentral's name for it is "partial 16S ribosomal RNA". It matches the Rfam family "Archaeal large subunit ribosomal RNA", at positions 2003 to 2654 of the family's 2987-position model. Lineage: Eukaryota; Metazoa; Arthropoda; Insecta; Odonata; Petaluridae. The record is from RNAcentral.